UACGGAGGGGACUAGCGUUGUUCGGAAUUACUGGGCGUAAAGCGCACGUAGGCGGAUUGUUAAGUCAGGGGUGAAAUCCUGGAGCUCAACUCCAGAACUGCCCUUGAUACUGGCAAUCUUGAGUCCGGAAGAGGUGAGUGGAACUCCUAGUGUAGAGGUGGAAUUCGUAGAUAUUAGGAAGAACACCAGUGGCGAAGGCGGCUCACUGGUCCGGUACUGACGCUGAGGUGCGAAAGCGUGGGGAGCAAACAGG
Molecule: ribosomal RNA, 253 nt
Filed under: uncultured bacterium
Lineage: Bacteria
Description: partial 16S ribosomal RNA
Rfam family: Bacterial small subunit ribosomal RNA
Source: RNAcentral